AUUGAACGCUGGCGGCAUGCUUUACACAUGCAAGUCGAACGGCAGCACGGGCUUCGGCCUGGUGGCGAGUGGCGAACGGGUGAGUAAUGCAUCGGAACGUACCGUGUAAUGGGGGGAUAACGUAGCGAAAGUUACGCUAAUACCGCAUACGCCCUGAGGGGGAAAGCGGGGGAUCGUAAGACCUCGCGUUAUACGAGCGGCCGAUGUCGGAUUAGCUAGUUGGUGGGGUAAAGGCCUACCAAGGCGACGAUCCGUAGCGGGUCUGAGAGGGAUGAUCCGCCACACGUGGGACUGAGACACGGCCAGACUCCGUACGGGAGGCAGC
Molecule: ribosomal RNA, 325 nt
Filed under: uncultured bacterium
Lineage: Bacteria
Description: bacterial SSU rRNA
Rfam family: Bacterial small subunit ribosomal RNA
Source: RNAcentral